This 537-nucleotide ribosomal RNA is filed under the name Triticum aestivum (bread wheat). RNAcentral describes it as "partial small subunit ribosomal RNA". The record is from RNAcentral. Lineage: Eukaryota; Viridiplantae; Streptophyta; Magnoliopsida; Poales; Poaceae.
AUGCUCUCGAAGUUUCUCCAAUACAAGCCGAAGAUGUUCGGCGUGUUCUUCUUCAUUCUUGGAGUAUAUAAGGAUAUCAUCCAAGUAAACCAUGACGAAUUUAUCAAGGUAGUCCAUGAAGAUAUAGUUCAUCAAUCAAGAAAAGGUUGCUGGAGCAUUAGUCAAUCCGAAGGACAUGAUGGUGUACUCAUAAGACCCAUAACGAGUAACGAAGGCGGUCUUCGGAAUAUCCUCCUCGCGAACUCGGAUCUGAUGAUAACCCAACCUCAAGUCGAUUUUAGAGAACACAUAGGAUCCAGCAAGUUGGUCAUAGAGAUCAUUGAUCCGGGUGUGGCGCCCCGCCUGAACACCACUGUAGACAGACGGUCACCGCACACACCAGCCCAGGAAAUCACUCUGGCAUGCGCUUUUACAACAGGUACCAUGAACACAGGCAUUACUGAAAUAUAUCAGUCUUACAUGAUAUAUUACGAGGGUGAUGGCAGUGGAAAAACUCUAUCUAAGGCAGCAGGGUCCUGGUGCGGCUCCAAUCCAUAG